GGGAGGGCGCUUACCACUUUGUGAUUCAUGACUGGGGUGAAGUCGUAACAAGGUAACCGUAGGGGAACCUGCGGUUGGAUCACCUCCUUACCUUAAAGAAGC
RNAcentral lists this ribosomal RNA (102 nucleotides) under Escherichia coli. RNAcentral's name for it is "partial 16S ribosomal RNA". The stretch from base 1 to 90 matches the Rfam family "Bacterial small subunit ribosomal RNA", at positions 1444 to 1533 of the family's 1533-position model. Lineage: Bacteria; Pseudomonadati; Pseudomonadota; Gammaproteobacteria; Enterobacterales; Enterobacteriaceae. RNAcentral also lists the same sequence under 7 other names. The record is from RNAcentral.